AAAUGUGGUAUGACUGCAGUUUGAAUGCUGCAAAGUUCUGUGUUUGAAUAGAAACUGUUAGCUACAUCACGGACUGCAUCUUUACUUUUCUGUGGCUGCCAGUGCAUGCAGUUAGAAGCUGGCGAGAGGAUGGAAGUGCAGGUGCAUAUAAUAGACAGAAAUCUUCUCAGCAGCCUAUGAAACAAACAUUCACACAGGGAUAGCCUCCACUUGCUCUCAUGCAGCCUCUUGUGAGGAACAGGGUAACAUAAGGCCUGCAUUCUGUCCUCAGUCCUGCUCAGGACAUUUAUAAGCAGUCACUCUCCAACUACCCUGCGAAGGGCACCUACCCUGUGCAACUAACAGGGCCUGAUGGUACUAUGAACGGACCCUUAGACAAGGUCUAGAUUUGUCCCUCUCUGUGCAGCUCUCAGGCUCCCUAGAUGCUUACCUGAAACUAUUCUUACGUUUUACUAGCUUCAGAUAACUGAAGUUCCUUCUGAGAGGUUGUAAAGUUUACCUUUUGAGAGCUCUCUCUGGCAAAAUGACUUUUUUUCCCAAAGAAAAUCUAUGUUCUUCAUCUCCAAAUCUAAUUAAGUGCAUCUACAAAAACUAAAAGCUGACACUUCACUGCUUAAUAGCUGUAAGCAAAUUAAAAAGUGGUGCCAAAAAAAGUAAAGAUUAACAAAUUUCUAUUCACGGUAAAGUAAGCAGGGCAAAUUAUGUGUUCAUUUAAUGAGUAAAUAUAUCCCUUAAUCUGUCACAAAGAAUGAUUUCAGGAUUAGAAUACGCAAAGUGUAUCCAGGAGGACCAAGCAUCUGAUGGCUGCAGGAGUGCGACCAUUCGGAACGGCCGCUACAGAUGGUGAGAAGCAGGAGCAGCGCUCGGACGCCCGCCAGCCCGCCACGGACACGGACACGGACACGGACACGGACACAGCGCUCACCGGCAGAGAACUGUGGUACUUGAAAUCGUCAGUAACUGAGGUGAGGACAAAAGCGUGCAGAGAAAUUCUAAGUGAAAAAUCACAGAAAAGCUCGCUCACAGGUAGCGAAGCUUCAGGCUCCCCGGCCUGGCUGAAUGAGAACCGGGAUGGCCAGAGCAGCCGGUGCUUGGCAGGGAGCCGGGACAGCACGCUGCAAGGGGCGAGACGGCCCCUCCUAAGCUCUGGCUCCGUGGUCCCGAUCCUGCCCUGGUGCCGCUUGAAUUUUUCAUGUCCCAGUGGUUAAGUGCACCCGCUGCCCUCUCCCUGCAGAUGCCCCCGUGUUGCAGACCCGGCUGCAGAACCGCUCCGACAGAGAAGCGCGCCGCUCCUCUUCCUCCUGCCUCGCGUUCCCGCACGGUUUCCGAACUCCGCGCUCAGCGAGCGCCAGGAGCUCCGCGAGCAGCCGCGCGCUACCAGCAGCGCGCAACCCCCGCGGGCCGCGUUGCGCGGGCAGCCGCGAGCCGCGCACUGACCCGGCGGGCGAGAGGGGCGUCGCCGCGGCCUCCCGGAGGCGCCGCCGGGCGGCAGAGCCCCGCGGGAGCGGUCCCGCCGCCCGGCCCUGACUGACGGGCGGCGCAGCCCCGCGCCGCGCCGCGCCCGCGCCGCGCCCGGCGCCACUCACCGGAGAGCAGAGGCUCGCGGCAGCAGCUCAGCGCCAGCCCCGCCACGGCCAGGGCGGCGGCGAGCGCGGGGGGCUCCAUGGCGGGGCCGCCGCGCCGCGGCUCCGGGCAGGGGCGCUGGCGGCCGCCGCGAAGAGCGCCGAGUGCGGGAAGCGGAGGCCCUACAGCGGGUGCCGUAACCGCGCCCCGGCGAGGUGCCGAGCGGCAGAUGAGGGAUCCUAUUACCAGCCAUGUGACAGGAAAGGAUAGAAGCCGACACCCCAACCUGCCGCAGCGCCGGGCCGCGGAACUGCUGCUCCUGCGUGUGACACGAGGGGCCCGGGCUCCGCGGGGCCCUGCCGGCGCGCGGGGCCGCCUCCCGCCGCCUUCCCGCACACCGUCUCCCGCCCGCGGCCGGGGCAGAGGCCGGGCAGGAGCCCGCCAGCGCCGCGGCGCACGCGAGGGCUCCGCUGGGGCCGGCCGCUGUCCCGCCGUCGGGCCCCUCCGCGGGCACGGGAGACGCGCUCGCCCGCCGCCGGGCCGGGUCGCGGGGGCCGCGUCUGCCGACAGACGGGGGGAGCGGACGCGGCACACCUUGCUUUGCUUCGAGGGAACGGAAGCAAACCAGCCGUGCAAAACCGCCGCAGACCUCGCGCUCGCCGCGUGCCGCUUCGCGCCCGGGCCGGGCCGGGCCGGGGGAGGGUUCGCCGCUCAGGACGGGAGCGGGGGGGAGGCCGAACCGCGUCGAACACGGCGGCUGGCCGGCGGAGCGCCCCGGGAGGGGCACAGCCGCGGGGACGCACACGCGCACAGGCACAAGGACAGCCGGGCACGGACACAAGGACAGCCGGGCACGGACACAAGGACAGCCGGGCACGGACAGAGACCCCGAGACACACGCAGACACACGCACAUGCAUAGAGACAGGCGCGCACACCCACCCACCCACAGGCCCCAGCUAACGGGCUGCGGAUCACAUUGGGGCGACACUGUCGAAGGACAGGUAUCAGGAUUACUGGCAGUACGGUGACUGCACACGCAGGGUAAAUGCUGAAGUAUUGAGUUCCUCCUCAAACAUACUAUGUUUAUGUAUGUUCGGUUAUUUGGUUCACACAUUCUGGUAAAGCUGCUGGAGCCUGAAUUGUGGUUGCACAAGAGCUCUGUGAGAAGAGAUGAUUUUGUGCCCACUAAGAGAGAGAGAGAGAGAGAGAGAGAGAGAGAGAGAGACAUCAGCUAGGCAACUGGAGAUUACUUUGCUGGGAGUGUUAGAAGACUGACCAGAAGGAGCAGUUGGGGCCGGGGGGGGGGGGGGGGGGGUGUCUGUUUUUGCCACUGCUUCGUUUAUAAUGCACUAAGCUGGAUAAUUCUGAUUCUCAAAUUAACAUACAAUUUUUUCAGGAGGAAGGCCAGAAUCUAGUUUAUUCCAUAUAUUCCCAUCCCAGUCUUUGGCACAGACAAUUCACUAUCUGUGCAUGCAGCACUUCGACUUCCUUGUGGCACGUGCUGUCUAACAGCAUAUGAAACAUUAUUGCUUUGUGUUUUAGUAACCCACAGAAUUCUCCCGUCCAAGGAUUAGGCCCACACUGUGUUACUUAUUCAGCUGAUUUGGAUCCCAUUUGGUCUGGCACGCUGUUCCUUAGGGACCCUGGGACAGAGAAAGCUUGCAAUCUUUAAACACUAUAUUGACCCCCAAGUUCACAAAAUCAGCCUCUUAUAUCUCAGAAAAGCCCAGUCCAGUCUUCCAGCACUUCUAGGCAAAAAUCAUCUUGGUUCAUUCAGCUGCCCAUGUUCUCCACUCAGCCACUGCACACACAGCUGAGGGGUGUGUGUUUGUACACACUAGUUGCACCAUUUUUUUUUUCUCACUGGAGCACAGUGGCAGUGAACAGUUUGUUGCCUCUGGUCAUUCUCCAGUCUUCUUUCAAAGUUCCUAUUUACAAGAUUUUUAUUUCUGUUCUAUAAAAUUGUUUGCAUUUCAACUUACUGUAUUUGAGAUUACUCAUUCUCAUUUUGUAAUUUUCUGCUCAUAGUUUCUGGUCUCUGUUUAAAAACAACAAUGACAACAACAACCGCAGUGCCUGUCUCCCCCAAGGCCCAGCAUCCCUGCUCUGUCACACACUGCCGAAGACUUGAGAUGCUCCAAUCACCCAAAGAAGUGACCCAAGGAUAAGUAGCAAUCUUUCUGUAUGAGCAACAUUUAGUGAAAUUACAGAAUACUGAUGACUCGCUGUUAUCCCUGUGCAAUUAUCCAUUUCUUUUUUCUAGUAGGAUGGAGUACGUUACAGAAGCAAAAGGAGAAACCGGGCAAAUGUUCAGGUUGCCUCCAGGUUAAUGUUGUUUCUAAGUUCAUGUUAAUGAAUAAAGCAGUUCAGUUGAGUUCUUACCUCUCCUUUCUACACAAAAAAAUCAGACGUGCCAGGACUACAAGACCGACAGCUCCAAAUACACAGCCAAGCACAAUUACUUGCUUGACAUCUGCAAAAAAAGAAAACCACAACAAAACAGGUUGCAGACUAGCAGUUGGUCAGUUCUGUCACUUCCCUACCGUUGUAGGACAGUGAGAGCAGGAUUCUGUAUGGCUGUGUCAUUCUCCUGGAAACCAUAGCUAAAUAAAAAUUUCACAGUAAAUCCACCUGACACUUCUCAUCUGAAAAAAACUAAUGAGAUUUCUGCCAGCUUUCCAAAAAAGAAUGAACAGACAAAGGCACAGAAAAUGAAGCUGAGGUUUCUACACACAGCAGUGGUGGAAGAAUUCAGAUGAUGCAAAGAAAUGUAUUCAGUGUUUGUCAAAGUAUCCCGCCAGUGCAGAGCUGUCCUGGUACAAUGAUGAUUCAUCCUGGUAAGUUUACAGACACAUGCAGUAGCAGUUGAGCAAAGCUUCCUUUAAUAGUCUCAACUAUUUAGAUACCGUGCAGAAAGAAGUGUAGCAGUGGAUGUUUUGUUUAAUGUCAUCUCACCUGACUUCAGACUUUCUACUAGCCGCUUGUGAUUCUGAUGAGAUAGUUUUGUUGAAUGUCCUACUUGAAGACUUCUGGUUGUCAGGACAUCGAAUCUGCAGAAUGGGUCAGAGUCACAGAGCAAGACCAUGUCUUUCACCAAGGGAUCAGCAGAGUCUUCAUAAGGAAAGAACACUGGCAGAAAAGAAGAGUUGUGCUUUUCCCCAUAAAAGAAAUUGUUCAAUAAGAACUCUGUGUCGUAGGUAAAAAGGGAAGUUCCAUUUUCAACAGCCCCUUGGGAGACAGAGAAAGAGACAGAUUCAUGUAUAACUUUACCUACAGGCCUAUACCAUGUUCUGAUUGUAAUCCAGGUGCUUAUUUAUGUAAACAUAGCUAGAGCUGGAAAAGACCUAUGAAGCCCUACUUAGUAUAUCUUCUUCCCAGAGUUCAAGAUCAUUUUUCUUUUUACUAGUACCAUCUUAACCCAGCGCUAAGGUCAGUGUUCGGUUACCUGGUGUUUGAUAAGUUACCUAAAAUCAGAUCCAAAUAAUUGUGUAGCUAUGAUGUUAUAUAAAGAUGGUUUUUAGAGGCCCGCUGGCAAAAUGGUGAUAAAAGAUAUCUCAGACAGAGCUAGCUAAACCAAACGUUCCAAGCAACACAAAUCCAGAUUCUAUUUGUCCAUAAUUUAUCAUUUCUGGUAUGGUCCUGCUCUUUGCUUUUACUGUGCUACAGGGGAAACUUGCUGAAGUAGGAGCAGUGAGACUUUUCAGUGUGAUCUGAAUCUUGGUGUAUGACCACACUGUGCUUGAUACAGCGAGUGACUGGUAGCCAGAGCGUAUUUUGUAUCAUGUUUCUGGCUCAUCUGCUCACCAUACGGCAGGAAGAGUGCAGACAGUUUAACUCUGCAGGCUAGACAUAGCCUAUUCAUUUUCAUCAAAUGAAAGCAGAUACUCUUUUAUCUUUUUAAAAAGGGACAAUUAUUAAGUUGUGAUUUAAUACUUGAUUAUUAAAAUUGUCAGCAUAGUACUUGAUGGAAACAUUGCUAAUUUUCUGGAAGAAGAUAGCUGACCCUGGAUAUUGCUGUACUUUUGUGACACUUCAGUGUCCUGUGUCCAGCUGGCCACAGUAGAUGGAACUCUGAAAGUGUAAGCUGUCAAAUAUGGAUGCUGUUGAUGGAGUAAAGAGCAGGAGGCUACCUCUUGGCUCUGGCUUCAUCUGUUUUGGUUAGAUAUUUCACCCACUUGUAUAAAGAAGGUCACACUUCUCUUCCUCCCUUUUCUCCUCCCCGUACAGGGUGCUUAGCAUAGAUGUAAUUUUCUAGUCUGUAAAUCAGAAACCAUUUUGAAUUUGCAAAGAAAAUGAAAUUACAGGUUAGAGAAAUCACUUACAGUCAGCUCCAAACUCAAACAGCUGCUGGGGAUUGGCAUCAACUGAUAAGGUUGUUUUGUUCUUGAAGGUAUACUCAUCCUCUGUAUUACCAUUCAUUACCCCAAAGAGACCCUGUGUGUGAUCGAUAAACUUUUCUGGGAGCAGGACUGUCAGUGUCAGAAAUCCUCCACUUCCUCUUAUUUCCACUCCAGCCCCAGAAGAGAACAUCACUGUGAUGUUCUGAUCAACUGUAGAAUGGAGAAAGAGACCUAUAACAAUGAGAGGGAGAGGAGAAAAUAGCUCAUCAUCCAUAGUAAACAGUUUGCUCUGUCACCAGUUUUACCCAUUUUUCCUAAAGGAUGUCCUCCCUCUCUGGGUACAUUCUGAGAGGCUUUUAAAGGGAGGCUGCACCUUCACACCAUCAAUUUUGGGAUGAGAAGAGGAGCACAACUCUGAAACUUUUGGGACUGGAGCAGUAGAUUUGUAAUCAGUAUCUUUCAAGGCUGAUACUUGUAUCUAACCUUUUAAGUCCAUCCAACUUUGCUCGGAGAAGUUGACCACCAUUUGGUUCAACAGGACUUCCAUAUUCAGAUCCUCUGAGUAGCGUACCUCAAUCACAUCAGAGUUGUUCUCCUGCAUGGCCACUGCAGACAAGCUUGUCACUUGAGCCUCUGUUCCUUCCGAACAGAAAAAGCAACCCCCCCCCAAAAUGCCCAACGUCAUAUAAAGUAAAUAUGGAAAGUAAUCAUACAAGGAAAAAGCAGAUAUUUGCUAAAAAUAAAUAUGAUUAUUUGUAUUUGAGGGAAUUGUUAAGGAUAUAAAUCACAUACAAACCCGCAAUUUAAUUCUCCAACCAAUAUAAUGUAUUGAAAGAGUAAUGUUAAAUACUGAAAAAGUCUGGAAAUACUAAAUUCUUCAACCCAAUGGCAGUGGUAUGUUAGAAGAAUGGUUUAUCUCCUUGCGUGUUCAUCUCUCUGAGUUUGGCCUAGGAAAACCCGUGAUAUCACAGAAGGCAUGUCAAACAGAGGAAACGGAACAAAACAGCAGACAGGAUUAGGGAUGAACGAGAACUAAGCAGCUGAUCUCAGAGUAUAAUACAGUACCAGUAUGGUAAACUUGAGGCUGGACUGCUUAGUGACUCAGGUCACUUCUCCCACAGCCACAGCAAAAUGUAUCAGCCUAAUAUUUCCCUGAUAAUUAAUCCCUGUGCUAUUCAGCAUGAUAUACUUGAAUGCUGUUACCCACAGACGAUUUUUAAUCGGUCCUAACAAUUUUACCGGAAGUACCAAAUUCUUAAAUGGCAUCCCAGAUGUCAGCUGGAAUAUUCUUUCCUGAAGCCAACCUGUUGUUUUAUUCUCCGUGGGUACUAGAUAUGGGAAAAGCAUAAAUGAAACUCUGAUAUAAGGCUUUUCAGGUUGUAAUGAGAAAUGAGGUGCCAUUCAGCUGUUCUAUACUCAUUCUUCCCUCAUUGUAAAGUGUGGGUAUAUGAUCGUCUCCAUCUGACAGGCUGGUUUGCAGUCUGCCCAGUCAGAUGAUGAAGGCCACAGGUACUUCUGGGUUUUGUGCCCUAGGCUUUGUUUUACAAACAAGCCAAAAGAACAGGACGAUCAGGUGCAUUGAACAAAAAUUAUUCCCUCAGCCACCUUCAUGUCAGACAUUCAGCAUUUUUCUGCUAGCUUGGGGUAUUAAGAGAAUUUUUUUCCGCACUCAAAAGAUGUUCUCUCAGUUCCUUCUGGGACGUUUUUUUCCUCUGUUGACACAUGCAUACCUCUACACACAACACAGGAGGAAUAUAAAACAGGACAUGCACUUACCUGCUUCCUCUUAAUUACCAGCUACAGUAUUAUCAGAAUGCAUCAGCUGGGAGUUACGCUUGCUGACUGAUUCCUAGAAUUGACCUCAUGUUUCCUUACAGAUGGGGGUGGAGAGAAAUGGGAGCUGUUUUCUCAAGUUCUUAAAGGUAACACACAUCCUUAAGCUUUCAUUAUUCAAACCCAACAAAACUAACAAAUAACCUUUGAUCAGGAAGUUAUUUUUUCCCUGGACAUCUUGACUGCCUUUUGAUUAGAUUCAAAACGCUGAUCUUUCAUAAAUGGCCAACUUGCCUGGGAAAAAAAAGACAUUCUUUUUCUUAAAGCUUUGGCAAUCUCAGUAAUAAAAAGGACACUAGCGUGCUCUUUCCAUCUUUGCGAAAUAAUGCUUUCUGUAACUAAAGUUCAGAAAAAUGUUUCCAUUUAUUUUCUUAUGCUGCUUAAAAAAAAAAGCUGUUCUUCCUUUCUUGCUUUUGUAUACUGCUAAAAGCACUUCCAGACUUGCAUACCCAAAGGCUUAUCUUUCUUCCCAUGCAUGUAUCUCAGCUGGCCUGAAAAGAGGUACCUGACCCUACAGCUUUUCAUUUGAACUUCAGUACUUCUCACAGGCGCUCUUUCCUCCAGAUCACGCAGGAAUUACCUGCAUCUUGCUACCUCUUUUUACAUUAUGCAACACAAAGGAGAUUCUAUUAAUAUCUAACCUCCACUACAGAUACCUUUGAUCUUCCCAUCCAGAAGAAGAGGGAAGAAGGUCAUUCUCCUCCAGCCCCCAACCAAAAAAGCUGCGGAAAUUGUGCCAUCUUACCUGCGAUGUGAACCGUAACGUGCUUAAAGAAAUCCAUAUGACAGUUCCUUCUUAACAGCUGAGCAGAGAAGGAAGGCAGAAGGAAGCAGAGGAUCAGAAAUAGUGGAUUACAGACUAUGGACCAAAACUCCAGAAAAAAAUGGAAGGGCUUGCAGCAAAUUAUGGUACACCAGAAGGAAAUGCAGUCUAGUUCUUUUGGCAUGGGAACGUACUAGGAUAUUGACUACAGACACAGACUGCCAACUUGUAGGACAUUGCCGAAAUCAUCCCUGCUCCCAGCUCCAUAGGGCUUACUGUGCCCUCCCUGAGUGUUUUUUUAUCCGUCUGUUGAAUCACUGUCUUAAUUCCCUGUUUGAAGAUGGUUUCAGCUGGGUGUCCUACAGGCACUUUUUUAUUCAUACUGCCCUGAUAAGCUCUAUUUGCCUCUGCCAUUUGACAUGCUACUUAUGCAAAUUUAAAUAUAUUUGUAUUUCUGUAUAUUGAAUUUUAGAGGGAACAGGGGUGUGUGGGGAGUGGGGAAGUACAAGAGUCCCUAAACUCCUACUUGGAACCAUAAUAAAACAGACUGUUCUAUUUACUAACUUACAUGGAAC
Molecule: long non-coding RNA, 9076 nt
Organism: Dromaius novaehollandiae (emu)
Lineage: Eukaryota; Metazoa; Chordata; Aves; Casuariiformes; Dromaiidae
Exons: 10
Source: RefSeq, a predicted model, not a curated record